Molecule: ribosomal RNA, 406 nt
Filed under: uncultured bacterium
Lineage: Bacteria
Description: partial 16S ribosomal RNA
Rfam family: Bacterial small subunit ribosomal RNA
Source: RNAcentral
AUCGAACGCUGGCGGCAGGCCUAACACAUGCAAGUCGAACGAGUGGCGGACUGGUGCGUAAUGUCUUGGAAACUGCCUGAUGGAGGGGGAUAACUACUGUAAACGGUAGCUAAUACCGCAUACCAUCAGAUGUGCCCAGAUGGGAUUAGCUAGUUGGUGGGGUAACGGCUCACCAAGGCGACGAUCCCUAGCUGGUCUGAGAGGGUGACCAGCCACACUGGAACUGAGACACGGCCCAGACUCCUACGGGAGGCAGCAGUGGGGAAUAUUGCACAAUGGGCGCAAGCCUGAUGCAGCCAGGCCGCGUGUAUGAAGAAGGCCUUCGGGUUGUAAAGUACUUUCAGCGGGGAGGCGUUACCCGCACAAGAAGCACCGGCUAACUCCGUGCCAGCAGCCGCGGUAAUAC